RNAcentral lists this microRNA precursor (78 nucleotides) under Schistosoma mansoni. RNAcentral's name for it is "mir-3492 microRNA precursor family". It matches the Rfam family "mir-3492 microRNA precursor family". Lineage: Eukaryota; Metazoa; Platyhelminthes; Trematoda; Strigeidida; Schistosomatidae. The record is from Rfam by way of RNAcentral.
AGCCUUCUGUAUCCGUGCCAAGAUUCCAUCACAAACCAGACCACAAGGGUUGAUGAGACUCCCAAGAUAAGUGAAGCG